This 495-nucleotide ribosomal RNA is filed under the name uncultured bacterium. RNAcentral's name for it is "partial 16S ribosomal RNA". It matches the Rfam family "Bacterial small subunit ribosomal RNA", at positions 28 to 523 of the family's 1533-position model. The record is from RNAcentral.
GAUGAACGCUGGCGGCGUGCUUAACACAUGCAAGUCGAGCGAAGCAAUUUUAAGGAAGUUUUCGGAUGGAAUUAAAAUUGACUUAGCGGCGGACGGGUGAGUAACGCGUGGGUAACCUGCCUCAUACAGGGGGAUAACAGUUAGAAAUGACUGCUAAUACCGCAUAAGCGCACAGUGCCACAUGGCACAGUGUGAAAAACUCCGGUGGUAUGAGAUGGACCCGCGUCUGAUUAGGUAGUUGGUGAGGUAAUGGCUCACCAAGCCGACGAUCAGUAGCCGACCUGAGAGGGUGACCGGCCACAUUGGGACUGAGACACGGCCCAAACUCCUACGGGAGGCAGCAGUGGGGAAUAUUGGACAAUGGGGGAAACCCUGAUCCAGCGACGCCGCGUGAGUGAAGAAGUGUUUCGGCAUGUAAAGCUCUAUCAGCAGGGAAGAAAAUGACGGUACCUGACUAAGAAGCCCCGGCUAACUACGUGCCAGCCGCCGCAGUAA